ACCCCGUCCCGAACCAUGUCGGAAAUUUUUGCACGUUAACCGAGGUUGACUGUUGACCGUUGACCGAAGGGGUCAAAAGUUGACUUUUUGAUCCGGUUGAAAUUCUAGGUUGACUGAGGUACCGUUACGAAGUACACGUUGGCACGAGUUCGUAGACUGGUAGCACGUUGAAAACGGAGCUACGGUUUGAAAGUUAUGAGCAAAACAAGUUGAGGUCCAAACUGUCCAAGGGGUGCCGGAGUUGACUUUUUAUUCAUGCAAGGUUGAGCUUUGACUCAUGCAUGGUUGUGAAGUGCUCGUCGAUACGAGUCCGUAGACUAGCGGCACGUCCGAUUUGGACAUGUGGUUUGAAAGUUAUGGACCUGUAAAGUUUUUCAAAUACUGUAUUAUUUUAAUAUUAUUUUUACACGCAUAACGAUGUGCCACGUGUGACUCAAUGAAGGUGGCCAUGUGUCACCAUGGUGAAAUUCCACAUGUCAACCAUGUGAAAAAAUCAAAUUAUUUUAUUAUUUUUGAAUAAUAAAAUUAUUAUUAAUAUUAUUUAAUUAUUUCUUUUUUAUUUCUUUUUCUUUUCCUUUUUCUUUUCCUUUUUCUUUUUCUUUUUCUUUUCUUUUCCCCACGUGGGAAAACACCAAUCCUUUCUUUUUCUUUUUCUUUUUCUUUUUUUUUCUUUUUCCUUCUUCUUCCCCGAAAUACACACACACACACGCAGCUUUUCUUUCUUCUCUCCCGACCGUCCCUCUCUCUCCUGUGUUUCAAAUUCCGGCCACCCAUAGCCCUCACGCGCCAGCCACCAAGGAAGCCCGCCACCUCGCGAGCUUGGCCGCCAAUUUUCACGGCCAGCCGCCGCCGGACGCGCGCCGAUCGGGCCGGAGAAGCCGCCGGCCGCCGGAUUUUCUCUCUCCUCUUUUCUUGUGUUUUCUGGCCAGCCCACUCCCAAUUGAGCCUCCUAUCCCCCUAUUUUGGGUCCUCUGAAUCCAAAAAUGGCCUCCAAUCUCAAAAAUUCGAAGCGGUUUGCGAGAUAUGGAGAAGUGAACACCGGCCGAAACUUUCCGACCAAAUUCCGGCCACCUCCGGCGGAAUUGGGGUCGACGGAGACCGGAUUGGUGAUCCUCGUCCCACGAGCUUCGAUUCGGAGCACCGGUGAGUCGUAGAAUUGAUCCCGUGGUAGAUCAUGGGUUAAUUGCGUGCUCCAGGUGAGUGACCCACCUUUAAAAAUAUUUUCGGGGUAAUUAAUUGUAUUUAUGUGGUAUUAAUUUGGUAUCUGUAAAAUUGUGCUCAUGUGGUGUAUUUUAAAUACAAUCGGGAAAAAUAUUAUUUUAUAUAUAUAUUUACCAUUGGUAAUAAAUGGAAAUUUUGGGAUCAUUAAGAAAUUCCCGAUUAUUAUUUUAUGGUGAUUUAAUUAUGAAUUAUAUUGUUGUUUAAUUUAUUAUGCAUGAGCAAAGUGAAUUUUGGUGGUAUUUGUACGUGGUUUUAAAUUUGAUUUUCAGGGCAUAAUUGGGUUAAAUAUUUUACGAAAAUAUUUGGUUAUAUUUUAUAAAUUAUGCCCGCGGUAUUUUUAUGGUUGCAUCUCGUAUUUCGAGGAAAAUUGUGGUUUGUUGGUUAUCGCUGUUUCGUACCGGGUUGUUUAAAUAAAAAUAUGUGGGAUGGUGUUUUGUGAAAAUAUGGUAUACUUCCCACGGUGGUUUUUGGAAAAACGGUACGGUUGGUUAUUAUUGUUUAUUUUUAGACGCACUCAUACAGUAUUGGUGUUCUGGUGUAUGGUGUAUGGACACGUGGUUUAGCACGCGGUUAUUAUGUGGUUUAGCGUGCGGUUAUUACUUCACCCGUGAGUUGCCAUUGGACCGUGGGCAGGCAAGGUUAUUGUUGCGCACAGCCGCCCCCCUCCUUGGCCGGGUGAUGGUUUUUAGCAGUCGGUACUGUCGAGACGCCGAAGUGACCACUGCAGGUUUCUCUCUUUAACCUCCCGCCAGUCGGUGCUCGGGACGCUGGGUAUCGGAGGGCAUCACCGGUAUAUGGUGUGGUGCGUCAGGUGUAAUUGUCGGUGUAAAAUUGCAAAUAAUGUUUUAAACCCCAAAGGUGUUCAAAAAAAAUUAUUUAUUAUAAUUUAUUACAGAAUAUUUAUAUUUGGGGUAUUUAUUUAUUUGUUUAUUUGUUGUUUAUUAAUUCGUUUGGUUCCUUGGUUUUUGGGAAGUACGUACAUCGGGUUUUGUGAAAAUGUUUUAAAAGGGAAACUUUUCCAACGAAGUGACUAGUGAGGGUUUUGAGAGAAAGUAUUACUUCAAUUGUUUAUUUAUUUAUUUAUUUAAUUGUUCGGUACUGGUUAAUUAAAUUUCCUUAUUUUUAUAUUAUUAUUAUUAAAGGUGUUUAGUAGAUAGGGUCACUCACUGAGAUGAUUAGCAUCUCACACUCUUAAAUUCCGUUCCCCUAGGUCCAGGUUGGAGACGUUGAUUGUCCGGGGCGAGCCCAACGUCUCAGUUCGUUGCCGAAGGUUCAAGAAGUUUUUCUUCCCUUUUUCCUCUCUAUUCUGUAUUGCUUCUUUAUCUGUUAUUUUUAUAAAUUCCACAUUUGUCGUAUAAUGCUCUGUAUACUGUAUUGGACGUGUCGUUGUUUUUAUGCACUGGGUUGCUGCUGUUGUUUUA
This is a long non-coding RNA of Ziziphus jujuba (common jujube), 2642 nucleotides long. RefSeq lists it as uncharacterized. The record is from RefSeq and is a predicted model, not a curated record. NCBI's taxonomy places the organism in Eukaryota, Viridiplantae, Streptophyta, Magnoliopsida, Rosales, Rhamnaceae. The transcript has 2 exons.